AAGGGCACCACAAGAACGCGUGGAGCAUGUGGCUUAAUUUGACUCAACGCGGGAAAUCUUACCGGGUCCGGACACACUGAGGAUUGACAGGUGUUUCGUUUUGAUAUAGCAUUCAUAUCAAUGCUGUGUAUGGUCAUGGAUUUUCGGAUCUUUGCUGUGUGCAGUAAUACAUGUGCUAUUAUACAAAACAAUUUCAAAUAUGCUAGUCCUUUCAUGAUUGUGUGAUAGGUGGUGCAUGGCCGUUCUUAGUUCGUGGAGUGAUCUGUCUGCUUAAUUGCGUUUCACUUAUGGCCACUAGUGUUUUAUAUUAAUACUGUGACCUCAUCGGUUUUUUUACAAAACGGUGAUUGCGUCCGGUAUGAUAUGCACUGUGAAAGCCUCGAAGGCAACGAACGUGACCGCAGCCUCUUGUUGCCUCCCUUGUGCAAACUGCAUCGUGGUUUCUGCAUAUUAUAUUUAAUUUUAUUUUAUGUGUUCUGCUUUCAGUUUUUUGCCACAGUUUUUUCUUUUUGUAUGUAUUAUCGUUUUUCAGUUCCUUGAAUGAAAGCACAUUGCAUUUUACUUUUGUUUUUAUGAUCAUUUAGAGUGUACACGUUAACGCGCGUAUAUUUCAACUUGGUUAUAUAUUUCAAUGUUUGGUGUUAUGUGUCGUUCACAGGGAUUCUGGGAAAUUUGUAUGUGCAUACAGCGAAUUAACCUGCAGUGGAGGGAAACUAGAGGGACCGCUGACUUUUUAUCUAACCAGAGGAAGGUUGCGGCAAUAACAGGUCUGUGAUGCCCUUAGAUGUUCCGGGCUGCACACGUGCUACAAUGAUUAUUGCAGUGAGCAUCUUACCCCAGUUCGUGGGCACAGCUUAUUUCGUUACACUGGUAUUUAAAGGGUAGUUUGUAUGUAUGAGGGUUUUCUCGAGUAUAUAUUUUCUACCUGUCAGUGUUAGCGGGCUGAUGCAUUUUACGACCAGGCUACUUCGAAAGUAAGUAGCUAAUCAAUUCGAAGUAAUGAUUUCCUUUGCAUAUCUCAUAUAUGUCCCGUAUCUUAUGGGUGUUUUCUCUUUUAGGGUUUACAUACCGUAUUAUAUGGUGGCAUGUGCUCCAUUAAUUCGUGGUGGGGACAGACCAUUGUUAAUUGUUGGUCUCGGUCUCAACUAGGAAUGCCUUGUACGGGUCUUUGGUUCAACAGACCACCCGGAAUAUGUCCCUGCCCUUUGUACACACCGCCCGUCGCUCUUACCGAUGGACUUCUCUGUGAGUUUGAGGGACUGGAAACUCCUUUCUAUGGAAACUUAAACGAACAGCGUGGUCUAGAGGAAAGAGAAGUCGAACAAGGCA
RNAcentral lists this ribosomal RNA (1329 nucleotides) under Vanhoeffenella sp. ARK2. RNAcentral describes it as "bacterial SSU rRNA". It matches the Rfam family "Eukaryotic small subunit ribosomal RNA", at positions 1160 to 1801 of the family's 1831-position model. The record is from RNAcentral. Lineage: Eukaryota; Foraminifera; Astrorhizida; Astrorhizidae.